RNAcentral lists this ribosomal RNA (1026 nucleotides) under human gut metagenome. RNAcentral's name for it is "bacterial SSU rRNA". It matches the Rfam family "Bacterial small subunit ribosomal RNA", at positions 71 to 1073 of the family's 1533-position model. The record is from RNAcentral.
AAUUUUAUUUCGGUAGAAUUCUUAGUGGCGAACGGGUGAGUAACGCGUAGGCAACCUGCCCUUUAGACGGGGACAACAUUCCGAAAGGAGUGCUAAUACCGGAUGUGAUCAUCUUGCCGCAUGGCAGGAUGAAGAAAGAUGGCCUCUACAAGUAAGCUAUCGCUAAAGGAUGGGCCUGCGUCUGAUUAGCUAGUUGGUAGUGUAACGGACUACCAAGGCGAUGAUCAGUAGCCGGUCUGAGAGGAUGAACGGCCACAUUGGGACUGAGACACGGCCCAAACUCCUACGGGAGGCAGCAGUGGGGAAUCUUCCGCAAUGGACGAAAGUCUGACGGAGCAACGCCGCGUGAGUGAUGAAGGAUUUCGGUCUGUAAAGCUCUGUUGUUUAUGACGAACGUGCAGUGUGUGAACAAUGCAUUGCAAUGACGGUAGUAAACGAGGAAGCCACGGCUAACUACGUGCCAGCAGCCGCGGUAAUACGUAGGUGGCGAGCGUUGUCCGGAAUUAUUGGGCGUAAAGAGCAUGUAGGCGGCUUAAUAAGUCGAGCGUGAAAAUGCGGGGCUCAACCCCGUAUGGCGCUGGAAACUGUUAGGCUUGAGUGCAGGAGAGGAAAGGGGAAUUCCCAGUGUAGCGGUGAAAUGCGUAGAUAUUGGGAGGAACACCAGUGGCGAAGGCGCCUUUCUGGACUGUGUCUGACGCUGAGAUGCGAAAGCCAGGGUAGCGAACGGGAUUAGAUACCCCGGUAGUCCUGGCCGUAAACGAUGGGUACUAGGUGUAGGAGGUAUCGACCCCUUCUGUGCCGGAGUUAACGCAAUAAGUACCCCGCCUGGGGAGUACGGCCGCAAGGUUGAAACUCAAAGGAAUUGACGGGGGCCCGCACAAGCGGUGGAGUAUGUGGUUUAAUUCGACGCAACGCGAAGAACCUUACCAAGGCUUGACAUUGAUUGAACGCUCUAGAGAUAGAGAUUUCCCUUCGGGGACAAGAAAACAGGUGGUGCAUGGCUGUCGUCAGCUCGUGUCGUGAGAU